AGUGAACGCUGGCGGUAGGCCUAACACAUGCAAGUCGAACGGCAGCACAGUAAGAGCUUGCUCUUACGGGUGGCGAGUGGCGGACGGGUGAGGAAUACAUCGGAAUCUACUUUUUCGUGGGGGAUAACGUAGGGAAACUUACGCUAAUACCGCAUACGACCUACGGGUGAAAGCAGGGGAUCUUCGGACCUUGCGCGAUUGAAUGAGCCGAUGUCGGAUUAGCUAGUUGGCGGGGUAAAGGCCCACCAAGGCGACGAUCCGUAGCUGGUCUGAGAGGAUGAUCGGCCACACUGGAACUGAGACACGGUCCAGACUCCUACGGGAGGCAGCAGUAGGGAAUAUUGGGCAAUGGGCGCAAGCCUGAUCCAGCCAUACCGCGUGGGUGAUGAAGGUCUUCGGGUUGUAAAGCCCUGUUGUUAGGAAAGAAAAGCAGCAGAUUAAUCCCCCGCUGUUCUGACGGUACCCAAAGAGUAAGCACCGGCUAACUUCGUG
This 492-nucleotide ribosomal RNA is filed under the name uncultured bacterium. RNAcentral describes it as "partial 16S ribosomal RNA". It matches the Rfam family "Bacterial small subunit ribosomal RNA", at positions 29 to 507 of the family's 1533-position model. The record is from RNAcentral.